GACGAACGCUGGCGGCGUGCUUAACACAUGCAAGUCGAACGGAAAGGCCCUGCUUUUGUGGGGUGCUCGAGUGGCGAACGGGUGAGUAACACGUGAGUAACCUGCCCUUGACUUUGGGAUAACUUCAGGAAACUGGGGCUAAUACCGGAUAGGAGCUCCUGCUGCAUGGUGGGGGUUGGAAAGUUUCGGCGGUUGGGGAUGGACUCGCGGCUUAUCAGCUUGUUGGUGGGGUAGUGGCUUACCAAGGCUUUGACGGGUAGCCGGCCUGAGAGGGUGACCGGCCAGAGUGGGACUGAGAUACGGCCCAGACUCCUACGGGAGGCAGCAGUGGGGAAUAUUGCACAAUGGGCGGAAGCCUGAUGCAGCAACGCCGCGUGCGGGAUGACGGCCUUCGGGUUGUAAACCGCUUUCGCCUGUGACGAAGCGUGAGUGACGGUAAUGGGUAAAGAAGCACCGGCUAACUACGUG
This 468-nucleotide ribosomal RNA is filed under the name uncultured bacterium. Its description in RNAcentral is "partial 16S ribosomal RNA". It matches the Rfam family "Bacterial small subunit ribosomal RNA", at positions 28 to 507 of the family's 1533-position model. The record is from RNAcentral.